CAAAAGCUUGGUCCUGACUUUACUAUCAACUUUGAUUGAACUUAUACAUGCGAGUUUCCGCACCCCCGUGAGAAUGCCCUAAAUUUCCCCACAGCCGCGGGGAAAGAGGAGCGGGUAUCAGGCACAACUUCAAUUGUUAGCCCACAACACCUUGCUUAGCCACACCCCCAAGGGAAAUCAGCAGUAAUAAACAUUAAGCAAUAAGUGAAAACUUGACUUAGUUAAUAUCAAGAGGGCCGGUUAAACUCGUGCCAGCCACCGCGGUUAUACGAGAGGCCCGAGUUGAUAAACCGUCGGCGUAAAGAGUGGUUAAUAUUAAUUGUAGACUAAAGCUAAACACCUUCAAGGCUGUUAUACGCACCCGAAGACAGGAAACCCAACCACGAAAGUAGCUUUAUACAGUAUUGACUCCACGAAAGCUAGGACACAAACUGGGAUUAGAUACCCCACUAUGCCUAGCCCUAAACAUAAAUAUUUUCAAUACACAUUCAAUACUCGCCAGGGAACAACGAGCCGCAGCUUAAAACCCAAAGGACUUGGCGGUGCUUUAGACCCCCCUAGAGGAGCCUGUUCUAGAACCGAUACUCCCCGUUCAACCUCACCCUCCCUUGUAUCAUCCCGCCUAUAUACCGCCGUCGUCAGCUUACCCUGUGAAGGAUUUACAGUAAGCGAAAUUGGCAGAGCCCAAAACGUCAGGUCGAGGUGUAGCGCACGAGAGGGGAAGAAAUGGGCUACAUUUGCUAAAUAUAGCAAACACGGACGAUAGACUGAAACCAACAUCUGAAGGAGGAUUUAGUAGUAAGAGGAGAGACAGAGCGCCCCUCUGAAAACGGCCCUGAAGCGCGCACACACCGCCCGUCACCCUCCCCAAACCAAGCCAACAAGCCAUAAAUAAUACAAAGAAAACUACUACCAAGGGGAGGCAAGUCGUAACAUGGUAAGUGUACCGGAAGGUGCACUUGGACAAAC
Molecule: non-coding RNA, 969 nt
Filed under: Glossogobius celebius (Celebes goby)
Lineage: Eukaryota; Metazoa; Chordata; Actinopteri; Gobiiformes; Gobiidae
Description: 12S ribosomal RNA
Rfam family: Bacterial small subunit ribosomal RNA
Source: RNAcentral